This 495-nucleotide ribosomal RNA is filed under the name uncultured bacterium. RNAcentral's name for it is "bacterial SSU rRNA". It matches the Rfam family "Bacterial small subunit ribosomal RNA", at positions 29 to 518 of the family's 1533-position model. The record is from RNAcentral.
AUGAACGCUAGCGACAGGCCUAACACAUACAAGUCGAGGGGCAGCACAAGGAGCAAUCUGAGGUGGCGACCGGCGCACGGGUGAGUAACACGUAUGCAACCUGCCUGUAAGCGGGGAAUAACCCGUUGAAAGACGGACUAAUACCGCAUAAUACUAAAUUACUGCAUGGUAAUUUAUUUAAACAUUUAUGGCUUACAGAUGGGCAUGCGCAUGAUUAGCUAGUUGGAGAGGUAACGGCUCCCCAAGGCAACGAUCAUUAGGGGUUCUGAGAGGAAGGUCCCCCACACUGGUACUGAGACACGGACCAGACUCCUACGGGAGGCAGCAGUGAGGAAUAUUGGUCAAUGGACGAGAGUCUGAACCAGCCAAGUCGCGUGCAGGAAGAAUGUCCUAUUGGAUUGUAAACUGCUUUUGCAGGGGAAUAAAGUGCAUCACGUGUGAUGUUUUGUAUGUACUCUGCGAAUAAGGAUCGGCUAACUCCGUGCCAGCAGCUGC